GCAUAUGAGGGUGAUCUGGCUGCAACAUCUGCCUCCCCUUUGAUUGCCAGGGUUGAUUUGGCUGAUCUGGCUGGCUAGGCAAGUAUGCCCUUUCUCUCUCACUGCUACAUGUGCAUCCCUCCUGAAGCUGCAUUCUCAAUCAUAGAGGAUGACCAUCGCCGAUAGAGGAAGACAGGUCAAGAGUAUGCGACUAGGUGUAACUGCGCUCCCCUGCUAGAAACUCCAAACAAGCUCUCAUGUGUUUAUUGGCCAUUUGCAUAUCUUCUUUGGAGGAAUGUCUGUUCAAGAAUUUGAUCAUUUUUUAUUCAGGUUGUUUGAUUUUUGCGUUGUAGGAAUUCUCUAUA
RNAcentral lists this small nuclear RNA (344 nucleotides) under Chlorocebus sabaeus (green monkey). Its description in RNAcentral is "7SK RNA". It matches the Rfam family "7SK RNA". Rfam says of the family: 7SK was discovered as an abundant small nuclear RNA in the mid-70s but a possible function has only recently been suggested. Two independent studies have found that 7SK RNA binds the CDK9/cyclin T complex (known as elongation factor P-TEFb). P-TEFb activates transcription by phosphorylating the C-terminal domain of RNA polymerase II. The record is from Rfam by way of RNAcentral. Lineage: Eukaryota; Metazoa; Chordata; Mammalia; Primates; Cercopithecidae.